RNAcentral lists this ribosomal RNA (405 nucleotides) under uncultured bacterium. RNAcentral's name for it is "bacterial SSU rRNA". It matches the Rfam family "Bacterial small subunit ribosomal RNA", at positions 29 to 417 of the family's 1533-position model. The record is from RNAcentral.
AAUCAACGCUGGCGGCGUGCCUAACACAUGCAAGUCGAGCGGGAAAGGGGGCUUCGGCCCCUGAGUAUAGCGGCGGACGGGUGAGUAACACGUGGGUAAUUUGCCCUUGGGUGUGGAAUAACUCAGGGAAACUUGAGCUAAUACCGCAUGACAUCCCCUUCACACACGAGUCGGGGAUCAAAGCCGGGGACCCUUCGGGGCCUGGCGCCUGAGGAGAAGCCCGCGCCCGAUUAGCUAGUUGGGAGGUAAUGGCUCACCAAGGCUUCGAUCGGUAGCCGGCCUGAGAGGGCGGACGGCCACACUGGGACUGAGACACGGCCCAGACUCCUACGGGAGGCAGCAGUGGGGAAUUUUGUCAAUGGGGGAAACCCUGAACAAGCAACGCCGCGUGGAGGACGACGACCU